AGAGUUUGAUCCUGGCUCAGGAUGAACGCUGGCGGCGUGCUUAACACAUGCAAGUCGAACGCUGAAGCUCCCAGCUUGCUGGGGGUGGAUGAGUGGCGAACGGGUGAGUAUCACGUGAGUAACCUGCCCUGAACUCUGGGAUAAGCCCGGGAAACUGGGUCUAAUACUGGAUAGGACUGAUCAUCGCAUGGUGGUUGGUUGAAAGUUUUUGACGGUUUUGGAUGGACUCGCGGCCUAUCAGUUUGUUGGUGGGGUAAUGGCCUACCAAGGCUUUGACGGGUAGCCGGCCUGAGAGGGUGACCGGCCACACUGGGACUGAGACACGGCCCAGACUCCUACGGGAGGCAGCAGUGGGGGAUAUUGCACAAUGGGCGCAAGCCUGAUGCAGCGACGCCGCGUGAGGGAUGACGGCCUUCGGGUUGUAAACCUCUUUCAGUUGGGAAGAAGCCCUUUGGGGUGACGGUACCUUCAGAAGAAGCACCGGCUAACUACGUGCCAGCAGCCGCGGUAAUACGUAGGGUGCGAGCGUUAUCCGGAAUUAUUGGGCGUAAAGAGCUCGUAGGCGGUUUGUCACGUCUGCUGUGAAAGCUCGGGGCUUAACCUCGAGUUUGCAGUGGGUACGGGCAGGCUGGAGUGCAGUAGGGGAGACUGGAAUUCCUGGUGUAGCGGUGAAAUGCGCAGAUAUCAGGAGGAACACCGAUGGCG
RNAcentral lists this ribosomal RNA (705 nucleotides) under uncultured bacterium. Its description in RNAcentral is "bacterial SSU rRNA". It matches the Rfam family "Bacterial small subunit ribosomal RNA", at positions 8 to 717 of the family's 1533-position model. The record is from RNAcentral.